CAAUAACAUAAACACGUUGCCACAAAACAGAACGCCAUUGUGUGAAAAUGACUUCCAUAAUCGCCAAUUGUGUCAAAGGGUUCUUUGGUUAGUUGAAAUGUACCCCGCGAAGGUCUCAAAGUUACACUUGGAGGUCCUUCCUGUCAUUGUGGCCAGUGCGAUAUAACGACCUUGCCCCUAAACUACCCCAGGUUCCAGCUUUGAUGACAGGAAACAUGUGAAUCAACUUGGUUCACUCACUCUUGUCCAAAAUGGUUCCUAAUGUAUUGGGGAUUUUGAGCCUGAAGACGAAUUUUGGUUUGCAUUUCGGUUCGGUGCUCAUUUGCCUAUUGAUCGGACGUUGUAACGGGUCGGUUUGGAACAGAUUUUGAAGAGAAGUAAUUCGAUCGCCUUGGGAUAAUUGGCAGUAACAAAUAGCCGCUAAAUUCCCGAUCAUUUUGAGGUGUCAUCUUCAAAGUAUUUAGAACAUGCUUGUGUUUCAGUCAGAUGGUGGAUUGAUGGUAUUCCAAAGGGACCGUAACUUCAUUUUCGGAAGAUUUCAAUCAGGGUUGCCGUUUCGUUCAGGCCCCGCAUUUUCUGCAUAACAAACGACGCUCACGAAGUAAUGAAAAAUGCCAGGACGAAGGCGAAUACUAAAAAGCCCUGAUUGCGACCAUUUGAGAUCCUUGUCAAAGUCGGCGAAUGUUAUAAAUGAUGGGCAAAAAGCCAAUGGCCAAGAUAAAUACCUAAUUCAAAUAGGUGCAUAUAUAUUCAAGUGCAACAACUUGGGUCAUUAUCAUGGCCCUGAGACCGAAGACAGGGAGAUAAAUGAAGCCCUUUGCAUACAUUUACAAUGUGUCUGAUCAGUGUUGCCAAGCAACCACAACUUGAGGCCGCCUGAAAGGCGAUCUCCGUAGGUAUUCCAAUAAUUCGUUGUCCUUAUUUGAAAUAGUACCAACUCCCAAGUCACUAACAAGCGUGUAAUUCAAAGUGGCUUCCUCUGGAGGGAACCUGUGAUGGUUGGAAUGCUCUUUGGUUGCACUAGGGUUAAUUGGCAGGUUGGACAAUAGCCAUCAUUCGCCGAAUGAAUGGCUCAAAUGGGAUAUAAAUCCGGAGCCGUUGCAGCAUCCUCAUUCAACAGCCAACAAAACCCCCAUUCAAAACGAGGGAAGGAUCAACACUACUAACCAUAGAAAACCAGCCUGUUCGAUGUUCAUUAUGACACAUGAUUUGCCCAGGUUCUGCUGGACCCUACAUUAUACCGUAAAUGUCGUGGCUAUGGUCAAACGUUUGUCGGGCUUCUUCGGUGAAAGAGACUAUAGAGGUCUUAUAAAUAACUGGUUGUUCAAUCCUAUUGGAAGUCACCCAAAACGAGGAUCUACUUCCGCACCAAAUUCGAUCGAACAUAAAAUAUUUUAUUACUUAAGUCCCACUUAUCUUCAAUCAAAUGCUGUGCCGCAUCUUCGUCCUGAUUGAAUUUUCCAUAACCUGUUUUAGGCACUCGUAACAUUCAGUCUUGAGUUGACUUUUGUAUUUACUUAUGUUAAGAUACAUUAAAUCAAACUUCGUUUUAAUGUUACGA
This is a long non-coding RNA of Tigriopus californicus, 1561 nucleotides long. RefSeq lists it as uncharacterized. The transcript has 3 exons. Lineage: Eukaryota; Metazoa; Arthropoda; Copepoda; Harpacticoida; Harpacticidae. The record is from RefSeq and is a predicted model, not a curated record.